Molecule: ribosomal RNA, 229 nt
Filed under: uncultured bacterium
Lineage: Bacteria
Description: partial 16S ribosomal RNA
Rfam family: Bacterial small subunit ribosomal RNA
Source: RNAcentral
UGAGUAACACGUAUCCAACCUGCCGUCUACUCUUGGCCAGCCUUCUGAAAGGAAGAUUAAUCCAGGAUGGCAUCAUGAGUUCACAUGUCCGCAUGAUUAAAGGUAUUUUCCGGUAGACGAUGGGGAUGCGUUCCAUUAGAUAGUAGGCGGGGUAACGGCCCACCUAGUCAACGAUGGAUAGGGGUUCUGAGAGGAAGGUCCCCCACAUUGGAACUGAGGCACGGUCCAA